UACGCCGAGCCGAAAAAGCCCGCACCAGCUGCUGCCACGUCGGUUCACAGCACGGCGACGCAGGGAAAAUACCUCUGAAGAAGAAGGACCGAAGAGUGGGUAAAAUAGCAGUCGUUCAGAGGACGCCUGCUCUUCGUUCUAUUCCAUCUGUUUUUAAGGUGGUCUCGACAGCAAUCCCUCGACGCGUCGCACGUCUAUCUCUACGGCUGGUAGUAGUAGUUCCAUCUGGAGCUGACGCCGGCGACGGUGCGGUUCUAGUCCUUCCACGAGCUCUCCUAGUCUCUCUUCCCACUCAAGUAGUAGCUGCUGUAGUUCAUGCUGCUCUUCUUCUUGGUGCACUAGCACAGCCCGGGGAAGCUGCGGCUGUUCGACCCGCUGUUCGAGACGACGUUCCGCACGUUGUAGUAGUUCCUCUAGCUCUGGCAGCUCGGCUAGUUCUUUGUCCUCGGGUUCGGAGGCGGCGGCUGCCUAUUCCACUUCGGGGGCCCGGGCCCAUUCCUACUCUGCCAGUUCCUCUUUCUCUUCGGCGGCGGCGGCGGCGGAGGCGGCCGGUUCCAGCACGUCCACGGCCACGGCCACGGCAUGGGCACAGGGAUGGGGAUGGGCAAGGGCCGCCCCGGCAGGCCGACGACGACGGUGGUCCCUGUGCCGCCGACGGUCACGAGCUGCGGCCGCGGGGUCAUGUGGUACGGCGGCAGCAUAGGCACGCCGCCGAUGUACUACCAGACGCUCCUCCUGGGCAGGCCGCGGACGUGGCAGUACACUGAGCGAUGCGAGACGGAGGUGCCGCCGCAUGGUGGCCACAAAUCACGCCGUUAAGGAGCACAUAUUCGUGGCAUGACUACGUGUACAUACUGGCUAGGGUCGCUUUUAAUACGUUAUUUUUUAGGCAUAAGGACAUUCACUUUGACACUUUGUUCGCUCCUCCUUCUGCAGUCACCGCCGUCUCGUGAUGGCGAAACAAAUACAACGUAAG
This 976-nucleotide ribosomal RNA is filed under the name Triticum aestivum (bread wheat). RNAcentral describes it as "partial small subunit ribosomal RNA". Lineage: Eukaryota; Viridiplantae; Streptophyta; Magnoliopsida; Poales; Poaceae. The record is from RNAcentral.